CUCUCGGGGUUACAGCCUUGCUGAAUUAUUCACCCUUGUCUUUUGCGUACUUCUUGUUUCCUUGGUGGGUUCGCCCACCACUAGGACAAACAUAAACCUUUUGUAAUUGCAAUCAGCGUCAGUAACAAAUUAAUAAUUACAACUUUCAACAACGGAUCUCUUGGUUCUGGCAUCGAUGAAGAACGCAGCGAAAUGCGAUAAGUAGUGUGAAUUGCAGAAUUCAGUGAAUCAUCGAAUCUUUGAACGCACAUUGCGCCCUUUGGUAUUCCAAAGGGCAUGCCUGUUCGAGCGUCAUUUGUACCCUCAAGCUUUGCUUGGUGUUGGGCGUCUUGUCUCUAGCUUUGCUGGAGACUCGCCUUAAAGUAAUUGGCAGCCGGCCUACUGGUUUCGGAGCGCAGCACAAGUCGCACUCUCUAUCAGCAAAGGUCUAGCAUCCAUUAAGCCUUUUUUUCAACUUUUGACCUCGGAUCAGGUAGGGAUACCCGCUGAACUUAAGCAUAUCAAUAA
This 507-nucleotide ribosomal RNA is filed under the name Alternaria arborescens. Its description in RNAcentral is "eukaryotic LSU rRNA". The stretch from base 141 to 294 matches the Rfam family "5.8S ribosomal RNA". Lineage: Eukaryota; Fungi; Ascomycota; Dothideomycetes; Pleosporales; Pleosporaceae. The record is from RNAcentral.